Molecule: ribosomal RNA, 630 nt
Filed under: Euphorbia magdalenae
Lineage: Eukaryota; Viridiplantae; Streptophyta; Magnoliopsida; Malpighiales; Euphorbiaceae
Description: eukaryotic LSU rRNA
Rfam family: 5.8S ribosomal RNA (bases 265-420)
Source: RNAcentral
UCGAAACCUGCCUAGCAGAACAACCCGUGAACGUGUUCAUAAAACGAGGGGUACAAAGCAGCUCUUGCCUGCUUUGCCCCUUCAUAAGGCCUUGAUUGGGGGACUAGGGACUGUAGGCUUUGCCUACCCCCGAUGUAACCCGGUUAGAGUCUGCUAACAAACCCCCGGCGCGGAAAGCGUCAAGGAAUUACAAACAAGAAGAACAGCCGCCUUGAUUGCCCUGGAAACGGUGUGCAAAAGGUGUUGUGCUUUGAGAAUCCAAACGACUCUCGGCAACGGAUAUCUCGGCUCUCGCAUCGAUGAAGAACGCAGCGAAAUGCGAUACUUGGUGUGAAUUGCAGGAUCCCGUGAACCAUCGAGUUUUUGAACGCAAGUUGCGCCCGAAGCCUCUUGGCUGAGGGCACGUCUGCCUGGGUGUCACUCAAUCGUCGCCCCAACCUCUUUCUUUUGGAAGGGGGCGGAAGAUGGCUUCCCGUGUGUUCUUCGCACGCGGUUGGCCUAAAUGUCUGGUCCUGGCAACGAUGCCACGGUAAUCGGUGGUUUUAUGACCCUCGCUAAUGCUGUGAUGGAUCGGGUGCUGUUGUGACCUAUGAGCCCUUGUGUGUUUUAGGACGCGCUCGUAAUGCGACC